AUUGAACGCUGGCGGUAUGCUUAACACAUGCAAGUCGAACGGUAACAUGGGCGCUUGCGCCUGAUGACGAGUGGCGGACGGGUGAGUAACGCGUAGGAAUCUGCCUGGUAGUGGGGGACAACUUGGGGAAACCCAAGCUAAUACCGCAUACGCCCUACGGGGGAAAGCGGGGGCCCUUCGGACCUCGCGCUAUCAGAUGAGCCUGCGUUGGAUUAGCUAGUUGGUAGGGUAAAGGCCUACCAAGGCGACGAUCCAUAGCUGGUCUGAGAGGACGAUCAGCCACACUGGGACUGAGACACGGCCCAGACUCCUACGGGAGGCAGCAGUGGGGAAUAUUGGACAAUGGGCGCAAGCCUGAUCCAGCAAUACCGCGUGUGUGAAGAAGGCCUGAGGGUUGUAAAGCACUUUCAAUUGGGAGGAAAAAGUAACGGUCAAUAUCCGUUACCUUGACAUUACCUUUAGAAGAAGCACCGGCUAACUCCGUGCCAGCAGCCGCGGUAAUACGGAGGGUGCGAGCGUUAAUCGGAAUUACUGGGCGUAAAGCGUACGUAGGCGGUUAAUUAAGUCAGAUGUGAAAGCCCCGAGCUUAACUUGGGAACUGCAUUUGAAACUGGUUAACUAGAGUUUAGUAGAGGGGAGUGGAAUUUCAGGUGUAGCGGUGAAAUGCGUAGAUAUCUGAAGGAACACCAGAGGCGAAGGCGACUCCCUGGACUAGAACUGACGCUGAGGUACGAAAGCGCGGGUAGCAAACAGGAUUAGAUACCCUGGUAGUCCACGCCGUAAACGAUGUCAACUAGCCGUUGGGUCAUUAAUAUGACUUAGUGGUGGAGCUAACGCAUUAAGUUGACCGCCUGGGGAG
RNAcentral lists this ribosomal RNA (859 nucleotides) under uncultured bacterium. RNAcentral describes it as "bacterial SSU rRNA". It matches the Rfam family "Bacterial small subunit ribosomal RNA", at positions 28 to 880 of the family's 1533-position model. The record is from RNAcentral.